This 460-nucleotide ribosomal RNA is filed under the name uncultured bacterium. RNAcentral's name for it is "partial 16S ribosomal RNA". It matches the Rfam family "Bacterial small subunit ribosomal RNA", at positions 338 to 795 of the family's 1533-position model. The record is from RNAcentral.
CCUACGGGAGGCAGCAGUGAGGAAUAUUGGUCAAUGGACGCGAGUCUGAACCAGCCAUGCCGCGUGCAGGAAGACUGCCCUAUGAGUUGUAAACUUCUUUUGUACGAGGGUAAACUCAGAUACGCGUAUCUGUCUGAAAGUAUUUUAUGAAUAAGGAUCGGCUAACUCCGUGCCAGCAGCCGCGGUAAUACGGAGGAUUCAAGCGUUAUCCGGAUUUAUUGGGUUUAAAGGGUGCGUAGGCGGUCGGUUAAGUUAGUGGUGAAAUCUCGAGGCUCAACUGUAGAAUUGCCUCUGAUACUGGUCGGCUAGAGAGUAGUUGCGGUAGGCGGAAUGUAUGGUGUAGCGGUGAAAUGCUUAGAGAUCAUACAGAACACCGAUUGCGAAGGCAGCUUACCAAGCUACUUCUGACGUUGAGGCACGAAAGCGUGGGGAGCAAACAGGAUUAGAUACCCGUGUAGUC